GUGGGGAAUAUUGGGCAAUGGGCGAAAGCCUGACCCAGCAACGCCGCAUGAAGGAAGAAGGUCUUCGGAUCGUAAACUUCUAUCCUUGGUGAAGAUAAUGACGGUAGCCGAGAAGGAAGCCCCGGCUAACUACGUGCCAGCAGCCGCGGUACUACGUAGGGGGCAAGCGUUGUCCGGAAUGAUUGGGCGUAAAGGGCGCGUAGGCGGCCUGGUAAGUCUGGAGUGAAAGUCCUGCUUUUAAGGUGGGAAUUGCUUUGGAUACUGUCGGGCUUGAGUGCAGGAGAGGUAAGUGGAAUUCCCGGUGUAGCGGUGAAAUGCGUAGAGAUCGGGAGGAACACCAGUGGCGAAGGCGACUUACUGGACUGUAACUGACGCUGAGGCGCGAAAGUGUGGGGAGCAAACAGGAUUAGAAACCCUAGUAGUCC
Molecule: ribosomal RNA, 425 nt
Filed under: uncultured bacterium
Lineage: Bacteria
Description: partial 16S ribosomal RNA
Rfam family: Bacterial small subunit ribosomal RNA
Source: RNAcentral